UGGGAUAUAGCUCAAUGGGCAAAGCUCUUGCCUAGCAAGUGCACUGUCCUGGGUUCAAUCCCCAGUACCAA
This 71-nucleotide transfer RNA is filed under the name Dipodomys ordii (Ord's kangaroo rat). It matches the Rfam family "tRNA". Rfam says of the family: Transfer RNA (tRNA) molecules are approximately 80 nucleotides in length. Their secondary structure includes four short double-helical elements and three loops (D, anti-codon, and T loops). Lineage: Eukaryota; Metazoa; Chordata; Mammalia; Rodentia; Heteromyidae. The record is from Rfam by way of RNAcentral.